UAAGACAGAGGUGCCAAGCGUUAGGCGGAAUCACUGGGCUUAAAGCGUGUGUAGGCGGAUCGUUAAGUACCUUGUGAAAUCCCACGGCUCAACCGUGGAACUGCUGGGUAUACUGGCGAUCUUGAGCCACCUAGGGGCGAGCGGAACAAGCGGUGGAGCGGUGAAAUGCGUAGAUAUCGCUUGGAACGCCAACGGUGAAAACAGCUCGCUGGGGGUGUGCUGA
This 223-nucleotide ribosomal RNA is filed under the name uncultured bacterium. RNAcentral describes it as "partial 16S ribosomal RNA". It matches the Rfam family "Bacterial small subunit ribosomal RNA", at positions 521 to 743 of the family's 1533-position model. The record is from RNAcentral.